This 581-nucleotide ribosomal RNA is filed under the name Salmonella enterica. RNAcentral's name for it is "partial 23S ribosomal RNA". It matches the Rfam family "Bacterial large subunit ribosomal RNA", at positions 711 to 1288 of the family's 2925-position model. The record is from RNAcentral. Lineage: Bacteria; Pseudomonadati; Pseudomonadota; Gammaproteobacteria; Enterobacterales; Enterobacteriaceae.
AGACCCGAAACCCGGUGAUCUAGCCAUGGGCAGGUUGAAGGUUGGGUAACACUAACUGGAGGACCGAACCGACUAAUGUUGAAAAAUUAGCGGAUGACCUGUGGCUGGGGGUGAAAGGCCAAUCAAACCGGGAGAUAGCUGGUUCUCCCCGAAAGCUAUUUAGGUAGCGCCUCGUGAAUUCAUCUCCGGGGGUAGAGCACUGUUUCGGCUAGGGGGCCAUCCCGGCUUACCAACCCGAUGCAAACUGCGAAUACCGGAGAAUGUUAUCACGGGAGACACACGGCGGGUGCUAACGUCCGUCGUGAAGAGGGAAACAACCCAGACCGCCAGCUAAGGUCCCAAAGUCAUGGUUAAGUGGGAAACGAUGUGGGAAGGCCCAGACAGCCAGGAUGUUGGCUUAGAAGCAGCCAUCAUUUAAAGAAAGCGUAAUAGCUCACUGGUCGAGUCGGCCUGCGCGGAAGAUGUAACGGGGCUAAACCAUGCACCGAAGCUGCGGCAGCGACGCUGAUGCGUUGUUGGGUAGGGGAGCGUUCUGUAAGCCUGUGAAGGUGUGUCGUGAGGCAUGCUGGAGGUAUCAGAAG